GCCUGGGUGGCUCAGUGAUUGAGCGCUUGCCUUUGGCUCAGGACAUGAUCCCAGAGUCUUGGGAUCGAGUCCCACAUCAGGCU
RNAcentral lists this transfer RNA (83 nucleotides) under Canis lupus familiaris (dog). It matches the Rfam family "tRNA". From Rfam's summary of the family: Transfer RNA (tRNA) molecules are approximately 80 nucleotides in length. Their secondary structure includes four short double-helical elements and three loops (D, anti-codon, and T loops). The record is from Rfam by way of RNAcentral. RNAcentral also lists the same sequence under 1 other name. Lineage: Eukaryota; Metazoa; Chordata; Mammalia; Carnivora; Canidae.